GCAGGCAUAGUUUAACAAAAUAUUAGAUUGUGAUUCUAAAGACAGGGGUUAGAACCCCCUUGCCCGCC
RNAcentral lists this transfer RNA (68 nucleotides) under Eumicrotremus spinosus (Atlantic spiny lumpsucker). RNAcentral describes it as "tRNA-His". It matches the Rfam family "tRNA". From Rfam's summary of the family: Transfer RNA (tRNA) molecules are approximately 80 nucleotides in length. Lineage: Eukaryota; Metazoa; Chordata; Actinopteri; Perciformes; Cyclopteridae. The record is from RNAcentral.